Molecule: ribosomal RNA, 253 nt
Filed under: uncultured prokaryote
Description: partial 16S ribosomal RNA
Rfam family: Bacterial small subunit ribosomal RNA
Source: RNAcentral
GACGUAGGGGGCCAGCGUUGCUCGGAAUUACUGGGUGUAAAGGGUUCGUAGGCGGUGUGGCAAGUCGGGAGUGAAAUCUCUGGGCUCAACCCAGGGGCUGCUUCCGAAACUGCCGUGCUAGAGUGUGGGAGAGGCGCGUGGAAUUGCAGGUGUAGCGGUGAAAUGCGUAGAUAUCCGGAGGAACACCGGUGGCGAAGGCGGCUUCCUGGACCGACACUGACGCUGAGGCGCGAAAGCUAGGGGAGCAAACGGG